AACGAACGCUGGCGGCAGGCCUAACACAUGCAAGUCGAGCGCCCCGCAAGGGGAGCGGCGGCCGGGUGAGUAACGCGUGGGAAUAUGCCCUUUGCUACGGAAUAGUCUCGGGAAACUGGGGGUAAUACCGUGUACGCCCUUUGGGGGAAAGAUUUAUCGGCGAAGGAUUAGCCCGCGUUGGAUUAGGUAGUUGGUGGGGUAAUGGCCUACCAAGCCGACGAUCCAUAGCUGGUUUGAGAGGAUGAUCAGCCACACUGGGACUGAGACACGGCCCAGACUCCUACGGGAGGCAGCAGUGGGGAAUCUUAGACAAUGGGGGCAACCCUGAUCUAGCCAUGCCGCGUGAGUGAUGAAGGCCUUAGGGUUGUAAAGCUCUUUCAGCUGGGAAGAUAAUGACGGUACCAGCAGAAGAAGCCCCGGCUAACUCCGUG
RNAcentral lists this ribosomal RNA (431 nucleotides) under uncultured bacterium. Its description in RNAcentral is "partial 16S ribosomal RNA". It matches the Rfam family "Bacterial small subunit ribosomal RNA", at positions 29 to 507 of the family's 1533-position model. The record is from RNAcentral.